GGGCACUUAGCUCAGCGGUAGAGCGCUUCGUUUACAUCGAAGAAGUCGUAGGUCCAAAUCCUACAGUGCCCA
Molecule: transfer RNA, 72 nt
Filed under: Candidatus Daviesbacteria bacterium
Lineage: Bacteria; Candidatus Daviesiibacteriota
Description: tRNA-Val
Rfam family: tRNA
About the family: Transfer RNA (tRNA) molecules are approximately 80 nucleotides in length. Their secondary structure includes four short double-helical elements and three loops (D, anti-codon, and T loops).
Source: RNAcentral